Molecule: long non-coding RNA, 1098 nt
Organism: Hibiscus syriacus
Lineage: Eukaryota; Viridiplantae; Streptophyta; Magnoliopsida; Malvales; Malvaceae
Exons: 3
Source: RefSeq, a predicted model, not a curated record
CCCUUUCGAAAGAAACUAUGGCGACGGUACCGUCUUCCCCACCUCCGCCAUCAACUCCUUCCAUCUCCGCUUUCCAUUCCGAAUCUUCCGUCACUCUUGCGGAAACGCUGCCUCAGGUUGAUGCUACCGCCGAAAAUGGAACGCUCAAUGUCGAUGACCAAAACCCUCAAAUUGGGAAUCAUUUGCGUGAGUUGGCUUCUUCGAUCUGCUCCUUUUAAAUAUGAGAAUCCAUGGUGUCUGGCUACUAUAACAUGAACUGUCUUUGGAUGAUUCAACUUUGAGCCUGGCAUUCACAGUGGUUAUUUUAACUUUGAGCCAAGGAUUCAAAUCGCGGUCGUGGUCAUGUUUUCGGUCAUGUCACGUUACCGUGAUUGCGGCCAUAGUGGGUAUAUUGAAAGGCAGUGCUACCGCUAUUUCGUGGGCGUUAUCACGGUCGCGGACCGCUAUUAAAACCCUCAGUGAGACCAUAUUGUCAAGCAGAUGGCCCUGCACUUGAUCUUUUACAGAUCCGGUUAAUGCAUUCAAGGAUCAGAGCAAUGGUGAAUUCUUUUCAUUUUUUUUCCAAUUUUGAAUUAUUUAUGACUGAACAUAUAAAAUAAGUAUAUCAUGUCAGCAUAAAGUAUACAUUGUCACGUCUCUAUCAUGUCAACACCAUUAAAAUUUUAAUGGCUGAUCAUAAUUGAACAUUCAAACUGCUUUAGUAGAGUAAAAUCCUGAUUAAUACUUAAACUUCGACGUAUGCAGUCCGAAGACUUCAUUACAUUUAUCAAACUAUAUGUAUCUUCCGGUCCUCCAAUUUUGGCAGAAUUGAUGGCAGUGAGGAGAGGUUGAAACUGUUCCUGGAUUUGGGUUUGUCGGUGAAUCGAAGGCUUAUUUUAUCCACUGUUAAAGAUAUUGCAAACAUUGUGAUCAAUAAAGGUCAUUGUUCGUCAUGUGGCGAUAGUAGCUAAUUGCGAAGCGGAUGAAUUUGCCAAACUAGGGAUUGGUUAAAUUAUGGGGAAUUAAUUAGGUUAUUGUUUUUCUAUUAUUGGUAUAUCGGGAAGAUUGGGAAUGGUAUAUGUUUGUAUCUGGUUGAUUAACCUAGGAGGUAGUUUUUUU